UGACCCCACGGCGCUAGCGGUCCUCGUGGUCUUCCAGGCCUAGCCGCCAUACACCCGCCCCCCAACGACUUCCAACCACCCCAGCAGCACAACCUCUUCGGGCGUUCCAACGCGGCGCCCCCUA
Molecule: unclassified non-coding RNA, 124 nt
Organism: Cercocebus atys (sooty mangabey)
Lineage: Eukaryota; Metazoa; Chordata; Mammalia; Primates; Cercopithecidae
Source: Ensembl